Molecule: ribosomal RNA, 498 nt
Filed under: uncultured bacterium
Lineage: Bacteria
Description: bacterial SSU rRNA
Rfam family: Bacterial small subunit ribosomal RNA
Source: RNAcentral
UCAGGAUGAACGCUAGCUACUAGGCUUAACACAUGCAAGUCGAGGGGUAGGCAGGUAGCAAUACCGCUGACGACCGGCGCACGGGUGAGUAACACGUAUCCAACCUUCCCAUAACUCAGGGAUAGCUUUCGAAAGAAAGAUUAAUACCUGAUAGUACUUUUUCAAGGCAUCUUGAGAAAGUUAAAGAUUUAUUGGUUAUGGAUGGGGAUGCGUUCCAUUAGAUAGUUGGUGAGGUAACGGCUCACCAAGUCUUCGAUGGAUAGGGGUUCUGAGAGGAAGGUCCCCCACAUUGGUACUGAGACACGGACCAAACUCCUACGGGAGGCAGCAGUGAGGAAUAUUGGUCAAUGGGCGAGAGCCUGAACCAGCCAAGUAGCGUGAAGGAAUGAAGGUCCUAUGGAUUGUAAACUUCUUUUAUAGUAGAAUAAAGUGAUCCACGUGUGGAUUUUUGUAUGUAUACUAUGAAUAAGGAUCGGCUAACUCCGUGCCAGCCGCCGC